Molecule: ribosomal RNA, 497 nt
Filed under: uncultured bacterium
Lineage: Bacteria
Description: partial 16S ribosomal RNA
Rfam family: Bacterial small subunit ribosomal RNA
Source: RNAcentral
GAUGAACGCUGGCGGCGUGCCUAAUACAUGCAAGUCGAGCGAACAGACGAGGAGCUUGCUCCUCUGACGUUAGCGGCGGACGGGUGAGUAACACGUGGAUAACCUACCUAUAAGACUGGGAUAACUUCGGGAAACCGGAGCUAAUACCGGAUAAUAUACUGAACCGCAUGGUUCAAUAGUGAAAGACGGCUUUGCUGUCACUUAUCGAUGGAUCCGCGCCGUAUUAGCUAGUUGGGACGGUAACGGCUUAUCAGGGCAACGAGGCGUGGCCGAACUGAGAGGGUGAUCGCCCACACUGGAAGGGAAACAGAGUCCAGACGCCUGCGGGAGGCAGCAGUAGGGAAUCUGCCGCAGUGGGCGAAAGCCUGACGGAGCGACGCGGCGUGAAUGAUGAAGGUCUUCGGAGCGGAAAGCUCGGUUAUGAGUGAAGAACAAAUGUGGAAGUAGCUAUGCACGGAUUGACGGUACCUAAUCAAGAAGCCACGGCUAACUACGUG